RNAcentral lists this ribosomal RNA (254 nucleotides) under uncultured bacterium. RNAcentral describes it as "partial 16S ribosomal RNA". It matches the Rfam family "Bacterial small subunit ribosomal RNA", at positions 524 to 776 of the family's 1533-position model. The record is from RNAcentral.
GACGGAGGGUGCUAGCGUUGUUCGGAAUCACUGGGCGUAAAGGGCGCGUAGGCGGCUUUGGCCGUCGGCUGGUGAAAGCCCGGGGCUCAACCCCGGAGGUGCGGCCGAGACCCCAAAGCUGGAGGCCGGAAGAGGAGGGUGGAAUACCCAGUGUAGAGGUGAAAUUCGUAGAUAUUGGGUGGAACACCGGUGGCGAAGGCGGCUCACUGGUCCGGUUCUGACGCUGAGGCACGAAAGCGUGGGGAGCAAACAGG